UUAAAUAUUCCCAAGGAAAUGAAGAAGUAGCAUCAGAAACAAAAAUGUUCGCUUUGUUGUAUUAAAAGUGUUCAUUCCUAAGGGAUGUCCCCUCAGAAUAUCUAGAAGAUUCUUUCAGACCAGAUUUGAGAUAUAAAAAAGGCAGUCAGCUGGGUGUGGUGGCUCACACCUGUAAUCCCAGCACUUUGGGAGGCUGAGGCAGGUGGAUCACGAGGUCAGGAGUUCAAGACCAGUCUGGGCAACAUGGUGAAACCCCGUCUCUACUAAAAUACAAAAAAUUAGCUGGGCGUGGCUGCAUGCGCCUGUAGUCCCAGCUACUCAGGAGGCUGAGGCAGGAGAAUUGCUUGAGCCCGGGAGGCAGAGGUUGCAAUGAGCUGAGAUUGCGCCACUGCACCCCAGCCUGGGUGACGGAGCAAGACUCCGUCUCAAAGAAAAGGCAGUCACAGGACACAAGGAAUAAAAUGGAAUUACUGAACUAUUACCAUGUACCAGCAGCGUUCUCAUCAUUUUCACACCCACAUUCAGUGAUUUAACCCUCAUCCCCAUCCUGUGAGAUAUAGCUAUUGUUAGCUUCACUUUAUAAGUAACAAAGCCAACACUGGCCCGGCACGUUGGCUCAUGCCUGUAAUCCUAGCACUUUGGGAGGCAAAGGCAGGCAGAUUGCCUGAACCCAGGAGUUCAAGACCAGCCUGGGUAACAUAGCAAGACCCUGUCUCUACAAAAAGAAAAGAGAAAAGGCAGCAGCCAAAGCUUAGAGGGGUUAUGUGCCUAAUUUGGAGUCACACAGCUAGCUGGGAAUCUAAUCUGGGUCUGUCGAACUCCAAAGCCCUUCCUCUUUCUUCUUACUCAGCUGUCUCCCUCAGGUUAUCUUUAGGCCUUGGGUUACCUAUGUGAAUGUUUCUCUGCUUGUAAAUACCACUUGGUCUGUGACCCUACUCUAAGCAUAAAUGGAGGGACUAGAAGAAUUAGACUAACAAAUACAUUCAGCUCCUAAACACCCUCAAGUUAGUAUAGAUUUCAGAAUCAAAAGACUUGGAUUUUGGACACGUUAGUCUUUCUGAAUGUAUUUUCCCUUCUCCUACCUGCCUCACAAGAUUAUCACAAGGAUCAAAUAAGACUGUUGGGAAAAACUCCCUUGAUCCUACUUUUUUGGAUUCAGGUGUCCUGUGCCCUGUUCUAGACCUUAUCUCACUAGGUCUUGUUCGAUUCUGCAGGUUGUACAUCCUGGAGACCUGAAGAAUUCUGUUGAAGUCGCACUGAACAAGUUGCUGGAUCCAAUCCGGGAAAAGUUUAAUACCCCUGCCCUGAAAAAACUGGCCAGCGCUGCCUAUCCAGAUCCCUCAAAGCAGAAGCCAAUGGCCAAAGGCCCUGCCAAGAAUUCAGAACCAGAGGAGGUCAUCCCAUCCCGGCUGGAUAUCCGUGUGGGGAAAAUCAUCACUGUGGAGAAGCACCCAGAUGCAGACAGCCUGUAUGUAGAGAAGAUUGACGUGGGGGAAGCUGAACCACGGACUGUGGUGAGCGGCCUGGUACAGUUCGUGCCCAAGGAGGAACUGCAGGACAGGCUGGUAGUGGUGCUGUGCAACCUGAAACCCCAGAAGAUGAGAGGAGUCGAGUCCCAAGGCAUGCUUCUGUGUGCUUCUAUAGAAGGGAUAAACCGCCAGGUUGAACCUCUGGACCCUCCAGCAGGCUCUGCUCCUGGUGAGCACGUGUUUGUGAAGGGCUAUGAAAAGGGCCAACCAGAUGAGGAGCUCAAGCCCAAGAAGAAAGUCUUCGAGAAGUUGCAGGCUGACUUCAAAAUUUCUGAGGAGUGCAUCGCACAGUGGAAGCAAACCAACUUCAUGACCAAGCUGGGCUCCAUUUCCUGUAAAUCGCUGAAAGGGGGGAACAUUAGCUAGCCAGCCCAGCAUCUUCCCCCCUUCUUCCACCACUGAGUCAUCUGCUGUCUCUUCAGUCUGCUCCAUCCAUCACCCAUUUACCCAUCUCUCAGGACACAGAAGCAGCGGGUUUGGACUCUUUAUUCAGUGCAGAACUCGGCAAGGGGCAGCUUAUCCUCCCCAGAACCCAGGAUCAUCCUGUUUGGCUGCAGUGAGAGACCAACCCCUAACAAGGGCUGGGCCACAGCAGGGAGUCCAGCCCUACCUUCUUCCCUUGGCAGCUGGAGAAAUCUGGUUUCAAUAUAACUCAUUUAAAAAUUU
This 2195-nucleotide small RNA is filed under the name Pan troglodytes (chimpanzee). RNAcentral describes it as "processed transcript". Lineage: Eukaryota; Metazoa; Chordata; Mammalia; Primates; Hominidae. The record is from RNAcentral.